GGCUCGGCAGGCCGGUCCGCCUCACCGCGUGCACUGGUCCCGCCGGGCCUUCCCUCCGGGGAACCGCAUGCCCUUCGCUGGGCGUGUCGGGGAACCGGGACGUUUACUGUGAAAAAAUUAGAGUGUUCAAAGCAGGCCUAUGCUCGAAUACAUUAGCAUGGAAUAAUAGAAUAGGACUUU
This 180-nucleotide ribosomal RNA is filed under the name uncultured Glomeromycotina. RNAcentral describes it as "partial small subunit ribosomal RNA". The stretch from base 90 to 180 matches the Rfam family "Eukaryotic small subunit ribosomal RNA", at positions 738 to 831 of the family's 1831-position model. Lineage: Eukaryota; Fungi; Glomeromycota. The record is from RNAcentral.